RNAcentral lists this long non-coding RNA (924 nucleotides) under Cyanistes caeruleus (blue tit). RNAcentral's name for it is "lncRNA (ENSCCEG00000006206.1)". Lineage: Eukaryota; Metazoa; Chordata; Aves; Passeriformes; Paridae. The record is from RNAcentral.
GGCUCAUCAGAGACUCACCCCCAGGUGUUUUGCCUUCCUUUAUCCAGUCUGAUGCUCCUGACAGCUGAGCCACCUCAUUUGAAGGUUCUUGAGGGGUGGUUUGCAGCCUCUCUUGUCAGCUCCCCCUGUGCUGCUCCAGGGAAUGCUGAGCCAAGGUGCCUCAGGUGCCAAAAUUGCAGUCUGGUUCUCCUGAAAGGGAGAGUGAGCAGCGAAAGGAGCUGGCAUCUGGCUUAGUGCAUCCUUGGUCUCCCUCUUCUGGCUCAGCUGGAAGGAGCUGCUCCAUCCAGGAUGUGCUGCAGCUCAGCAUCCCCCUCCUGCCAGGAGCUGAAGGGACACUGGUGAAGAGAACAGGUCGAGAAGCUUUUUUCCACCAUGUGCCUGCAGGCCAUGGCUGUGGCAAUCACGCUUCUCCUGGCUGUGCUGGCCAUCCUGCCUGGGCAGGCACAAGACCCACAGACUGAUAUGGCCACGGCCCAGCAGAUGCAGCAGCGUGAGGAGUUUCUGCAGCAGGAGAUGUCGCGGCUGCGGCGGGAGGUUGAGCGCAGCGCCCUGGAAAAAGCUUUCCUCCACUCCAUGUUUUACUGGUUCUUUUGGGCUGCUGUGGCAGCUGUGCUCCUUGAAUUCUGCAUGCAAAAGCAGCUUGGCUCCAGCAGCUGCCCUGAGCAGGAAAACUGCAGCAGCAGAGAGGAGGAGGAUGAUAGUGAGGGGGAUGAAGACAAUGGAGCACAAAAUGCUGCCAGCUCUUUGGCUUGGCCCACCUUAUUUCCAGUGCAGGAACUGCCUGACCUGAGCAGGAAUCUGAAGCAGCUUCUGGGUGACUUCUUGAUCAACCAAGACUUUUCACAGAGCACUCUGACACCAGAGAUUUCCCCACACACUGAGAUGAAUGGCACCUGUGGAUCCUGGAGGGUCCACAAGAACUGA